Long non-coding RNA from Aquila chrysaetos chrysaetos, 456 nucleotides. RefSeq lists it as uncharacterized. The transcript is spliced from 2 exons. The record is from RefSeq and is a predicted model, not a curated record. NCBI's taxonomy places the organism in Eukaryota, Metazoa, Chordata, Aves, Accipitriformes, Accipitridae.
GCCUGAGGCGAGCGGGGCGGCCCCGCCCCGUCUCGCCGCUCCUCCUCCGGGAGGCCAGGGCAGUGCGGGAGAAACCACCCCGAGUAAAGGGGGGGGGCCGGGCGGGGAUUCUCAGAGCGCAGAGGCCGCCGGGGCCACUUCACCUCAAGCGCUAGGGACUCGCUUUGAUACAUACAUCCACAGAAGCCUAAAACGAGAUUGGAGAAAGUGGGAAGGCUGGGCAUGGAAACAGAGCACUGCUGCUGCCCGCAGGGAAGGGAGAGUCCAGAAGGAACGAUCUCAUUAGACCAUGGCUCUGCACUUAUGUGAUGAUGGUUCAUCUCGGUUCAACUGCUGUUAUUACAUGUACAGAAAAGUAAUGUCGGUAUUUACAGCGGGUUUCAACUUAUGUGCCAAACUGCAUAAACACAGAAAAAUAGAGCAAAAAAUGAAGAGAAUAAAAUCCUAAUAACAUGA